This 235-nucleotide ribosomal RNA is filed under the name uncultured bacterium. Its description in RNAcentral is "partial 16S ribosomal RNA". It matches the Rfam family "Bacterial small subunit ribosomal RNA", at positions 96 to 334 of the family's 1533-position model. The record is from RNAcentral.
UGGCGGACGGGUGAGUAAUGUCUGGGAAACUGCCCGAUGGAGGGGGAUAACUACUGGAAACGAUAGCUAAUACCGCAUAACGUCGCAAGACCAAAGAGGGGGACCUUCGGGCCUCUUGCCAUCGGAUGUGCCCAGAUGGGAUUAGCUAGUAGGUGGGGUAACGGCUCACCUAGGCGACGAUCCCUAGCUGGUCUGAGAGGAUGACCAGCCACACUGGAACUGAGACACGGUCCAG